This 253-nucleotide ribosomal RNA is filed under the name uncultured bacterium. RNAcentral's name for it is "partial 16S ribosomal RNA". It matches the Rfam family "Bacterial small subunit ribosomal RNA", at positions 524 to 776 of the family's 1533-position model. The record is from RNAcentral.
UACGGGGGGGGUAAGCGUUGUUCGGAAUUACUGGGCGUAAAGGGCUCGUAGGCGGCCAACUAAGUCAGACGUGAAAUCCCUCAGCUUAACUGGGGAACUGCGUCUGAUACUGGAUGGCUUGGAUCCGGAAGAGGGAUGCGGAAUUCCAGGUGUAGCGGUGAAAUGCGUAGAUAUCUGGAGGAACACCGGUGGCGAAGGCGGCAUCCUGGGCCGGUAUUGACGCUGAGGGGCGAAAGCCAGGGGAGCAAACGGG